Molecule: non-coding RNA, 103 nt
Organism: Lupinus angustifolius (narrow-leaved blue lupine)
Lineage: Eukaryota; Viridiplantae; Streptophyta; Magnoliopsida; Fabales; Fabaceae
Source: Rfam
AGGUUAUGUAAUGCAGCCAAGGAUGACUUGCCGGCAAGCUUCUAUUAAUCAUGUUCUAAAACUCUAUUGCCGACAAGUUAUCUCUGGCUAUGUAAAAACCUCG